GAUGAACGCUGGCGGCGUGCUUAACACAUGCAAGUCGAACGAACCUUCGGGUUAGUGGCGGACGGGUGAGUAACGCGUGAGAAUCUGCCCUCAGGAGGGGGAUAACGGCUGGAAACGGCCGCUAAUACCCCAUAUGCCGAGAGGUGAAAUGAAUUUCGCCUGAGGAUGAGCUCGCGUCUGAUUAGCUAGUUGGUGUGGUAAAGGCUCACCAAGGCAUCGAUCAGUAGCUGGUCUGAGAGGAUGAUCAGCCACACUGGGACUGAGACACGGCCCAGACUCCUACGGGAGGCAGCAGUGGGGAAUUUUCCGCAAUGGGCGCAAGCCUGACGGAGCAACGCCGCGUGAGGGAUGAAGGCCUCUGGGCUGUAAACCUCUUUUAUCAAGGAAGAAGAUC
RNAcentral lists this ribosomal RNA (394 nucleotides) under uncultured Synechococcus sp. RNAcentral's name for it is "bacterial SSU rRNA". It matches the Rfam family "Bacterial small subunit ribosomal RNA", at positions 28 to 453 of the family's 1533-position model. The record is from RNAcentral. Lineage: Bacteria; Bacillati; Cyanobacteriota; Cyanophyceae; Synechococcales; Synechococcaceae.